Molecule: long non-coding RNA, 1116 nt
Filed under: Capra hircus (goat)
Lineage: Eukaryota; Metazoa; Chordata; Mammalia; Artiodactyla; Bovidae
Description: lncRNA (ENSCHIG00010011790.1)
Source: RNAcentral
UAAUGUUUCUAGCCAUUGUGGCCUGUUAUUUGCUUUUUAAGUUUCCUGAUAAGAGAAGAAUAUUCAUCCUAAGUCUUUGAAGGCUAAGAUGACUCAGGAAUAAAAUCUGCAAUGUGAUUCCUCCCCUUCCUCCCACCUCAGACCUCACUUUAUUUCACAUGGUGAGGUUUGCAGGUGUGCAGCUUUUUCCACUAACAGCCUUCAGGGUUGGGCACACUUUUGUGGCCAUAACCGACUGAGGUUGUUACUAAAAUAAAAUAAGAAAUAAGGAGGUUACCUUGCUGCUCCUCUGUUACAUUACCUGAGAUAUAAAUAAUGUUUGCAAAGGGAAAACAAAAACACUGUCACCUGAGGAUGAAUUCUUACCCUUCUCCGUGCUUUAAAUUUUUGCAGAAUUAUAAAGUGGGAAGGGUUUAGGGCAGAGAAAGCAACCUUUUAAAACAAAAGUUCAAAUCAAUAAUAAUUAACAUUCACUGGCCUUCCUUCUUCUGCUAAUAACUGAAGACAAGUACUAAUUAGAGAAGCCUCAAGUGUCUGGAUUUCUGGAUGUGCCAGAUGGCUGCAUGAGAACUGUGCAUCGUGCCAGGAAAAAGCCUGGGUUGCUCUUAGCUACCACCUCUCCUCCAUUGUGAUCUUGUCUGAGGACCCUUAAACAUGCCCAUCACUGUGCACUGAGGCUUUUUCUUUGUUCUUUCUUCUCUUGUCUUCCCCACUUCUGAUUUCAGGAGGUACAUUUCUGCCAUGUUUAGUGAGUGCUCUUGUGAGCUUUUGUUUUUACUUCUUACUUAACAAACUCAUUCUGUUCGUCUUUUUCUUUUCAGAUUUCCUUUGACUUCUUAUGUUUUUGUCUGAUCUCACUAGAUCCUUCCCUCUCUCCCCAUUUGUUCUUUUUCAAGAUCACACAGAAUCAGCACAGAAACUUUCAGUUGUAACAUUAAGAUAGUUCUGCCUCUUCCGUUUUGUUUUUUUUUUUUAACUCUUUUCACAGAUUGUCUGAAAACAUAUGUUUUCUUCUUUGGGUUUAUACUUCAAAUAUUUUCUUCCUCUGUGAUUAACUCUGCUAACCAACUCUGAGAAAGCUUUGAUUUUUGUAUGGAAAUUUUCAAUCCUGUUGAG